Molecule: long non-coding RNA, 529 nt
Filed under: Erythranthe guttata (spotted monkey flower)
Lineage: Eukaryota; Viridiplantae; Streptophyta; Magnoliopsida; Lamiales; Phrymaceae
Description: long non-coding RNA (EGUT_LNC000422)
Source: RNAcentral
UGCGCGAAUUCAGCAAAUCCAUCGGAAUCUUCCACCCAAAACCACCGCCGCCAGCAGACCCAUCGCAAUCCUCCACCCAUAUCAUAAAUGCGACAAACUUUAAACAGUAAUUAAACCAUAAAUCAAACACCACUAAUUCUACAAACACCAAAUUAAACAAAAACGAAGGCCGUCGUCGGGCUUCAAACAAGUGAAAGCAUGGUUGUUAAAUUGCAAAUCGAAUCGUAAAAACACGAAAAUCAUUUUGCUAUUUAAGAAUUGCAAAUCACCGAACCGUAAAAAAAAACUGUAUAAAAUCACGGUAGAUCGAAAAGGCAGAAGACUCGAAACGAAUGGCAACAACAAAAUUUCAAACCAGAAGAAAAGGGAAAAAAUACCUCAGCUUCUGCUGAUUUUGUGUGUGUAAUUUGUGUGUGUGUGUGUCUGUGUGUUUGUGUGUGCGAGAGAAAGAGGAGAGAGAUAGAGAGAGAGAAGAGAUAAUAUUUGUGUGUGUGUGUGCCUGUGUGUUUGUGUGUGCGAGAGAAAGAGG